RNAcentral lists this transfer RNA (65 nucleotides) under Poecilimon luschani. Its description in RNAcentral is "tRNA-His". The record is from RNAcentral. Lineage: Eukaryota; Metazoa; Arthropoda; Insecta; Orthoptera; Tettigoniidae.
AUUUAAGUAGUUUAAAUAAAAUGUUGAUUUGUGGUGUCAGUGAAGUAGAAAAUCUACCUUAAAUC